CAAGCUUACAGGCUCAGGGGCUCAGGAGGCUCCAGGCUAAAUGGUGUUCCAGAAGGCUUCACCUGAGGGUAGAAAUUCACCUUCAGGUACCCCCUCCCUGCCUGCGUGAGAGCUGAGAGAGGAAGAUGAAUUCCUUAAGCUCUUCCCUGUGCUGGGAAGCAGUAGUGUUAAGAGAGAUCUCUGUGCUGAAGAUGGAGCUGCAGCCAAGAUGACCGGCAUAGUUUAUAGGCUUAUUCCACUGCCAGGCUUGCUUUUGGCCGUGGAGCUGAUCUUUUGCUGCCUGAAAUAUGCGACAAUCAAGAAUUUGAUGGUGCAGAGGGAUUGGCUGUAUAAUUUGUGGGGCCCAGUGCAAAAUGAAAAUGCAGAACCCCUGUAUGCGGAUUACUAUGAAUCUCAAGACGGCAAUAGCAAAACAUUAAGUGCAGAGCCUUUAUAUGUAUGGAGCCCAGUGUGAAGUCGAUCCUGCCCCUCUGAAAGACUGAACAGCGUGUUCAGGGUAGCAGCCACCUUGAGAGCACAGCUGGAGCAGGUCCACAGCGCAGAGAGGAGCCUGCCUUCCUCUCCACAUCUUAGUUUAUGGGACCAGUUAACAUGCUCACAUGCACACAAACACACAUGCACAAACACACACACAAACACCUGGACAGGUAGUUCCAAGAACCCUCUGACAGAAGUGUUCAGCAGAAUAAAAUCAG
RNAcentral lists this long non-coding RNA (695 nucleotides) under Homo sapiens (human). Its description in RNAcentral is "HSALNT0120084". The record is from RNAcentral. Lineage: Eukaryota; Metazoa; Chordata; Mammalia; Primates; Hominidae.